RNAcentral lists this long non-coding RNA (452 nucleotides) under Mytilus galloprovincialis (Mediterranean mussel). The record is from RNAcentral. Lineage: Eukaryota; Metazoa; Mollusca; Bivalvia; Mytilida; Mytilidae.
AAAAAGGGGCCCAAAGGGUCCAAAAUUAAACUUUGUUUGAUUUCAUCAAAAAUUGAAUAAUUUGGGUUCUUUAAUAUGCCAAAUUUAAAAAUGUACUUAAUUUUUUUAUUUUUGGCCCAGUUUUCAAGUUGGUCCAAAUCGGGGUCCAAAAUUAAACUUUGUUUGAUUUCAUCAAAAAUUGAAUAAAUGGGGUUCUUUGAUAUGCCAAAUCUAACUGUGUAUGUAGAUUUUUAAUUUUGGUCCCGUUUUCAAAUUGGUCUACAUUAAGGUCCAAAGGGUCCAAAAUUUAACUCAGUUCGAUUUUAACAAAAAUUGAAUCUUUGGGGUUCAUUGAUAUGCUGAAUCUAAAUUUGAACUUAGAUUUUUGAUUAUUGGCCCAGUUUUCAAGUUGGUCCAAAUCAGGGUCCAAAAUUAAACUUUGUUUGAUUUCAUCAAAAAUUGAAUAAAUGGGG